GAUGAACGCUAGCGGCAGGCCUAACACAUGCAAGUCGAGGGGCAGCACGAAAUAGCUUGCUAUUUUGGUGGCGACCGGCGCACGGGUGCGUAACGCGUAUGCAACCUACCCUGUACUGAGGGAUAGCCCGGAGAAAUUCGGGAUUAAUACCUCAUAGUAUUAUUGAUUCGCAUGGAUUGAUAAUUAAAGGUUACGGUACGGGAUGGGCAUGCGUCCCAUUAGCUAGAUGGUAAGGUAACGGCUUACCAUGGCAACGAUGGGUAGGGGGCCUGAGAGGGUGAUCCCCACACUGGUACUGAGACACGGACCCAGACUCCUACGGGAGGCAGCAGUGAGAAUAUUGGUCAAUGGACGCAAGUCUGAACCAGCCAUGCCGCGUGCA
RNAcentral lists this ribosomal RNA (382 nucleotides) under Fluviicola taffensis. Its description in RNAcentral is "bacterial SSU rRNA". It matches the Rfam family "Bacterial small subunit ribosomal RNA", at positions 28 to 405 of the family's 1533-position model. The record is from RNAcentral. Lineage: Bacteria; Pseudomonadati; Bacteroidota; Flavobacteriia; Flavobacteriales; Crocinitomicaceae.